Molecule: long non-coding RNA, 473 nt
Organism: Vicia villosa (hairy vetch)
Lineage: Eukaryota; Viridiplantae; Streptophyta; Magnoliopsida; Fabales; Fabaceae
Exons: 3
Source: RefSeq, a predicted model, not a curated record
AAGAAGAAGAAGAACUUAUGUUCAACUUUCCAUUUUCGCACCUAUGGGACAGCCUUCACCAAAAAGGCACUAUAUUGAUGGAUAUAAUCUGGUUUGAAGUUGAGUCAUCCAUGCUGAAAGUAUGAAUAUAAGGAUUUCGGGAUUGAUGAUGAUGGGAGCAAAACUUUGAUUAAGAAAGGAUUGUGGGAGCAGCAUUGUUAUUAUCUUCACCUCUACAACUCAGAAUCUUCAAGCUUGAGGAACAGGUUAGAAGUAGAUGGAUUGCUUGAUGGACUGCCUUGAAGACCGUGGACAAGUAAUUGGCAGGAAGACCUAGUCAGACGUUAUUUUUCCGCUGUGCAUUGUUGAAGGCAAGCCAAUCAUAUACGUUUUUAGUUGGAUAUUUGAAUUGUAUAUGAUUUUAAUUUCUUUUCAUUAUCGCUUAUGUAUGUUUCUUGUACCAUUUAUAGCAUCACCGCAUAUUAUUCUAGACA